Molecule: small nuclear RNA, 207 nt
Organism: Anolis carolinensis (green anole)
Lineage: Eukaryota; Metazoa; Chordata; Lepidosauria; Squamata; Anolidae
Gene: U2
Rfam family: U2 spliceosomal RNA
About the family: U2 is a small nuclear RNA (snRNA) component of the spliceosome (involved in pre-mRNA splicing). Complementary binding between U2 snRNA (in an area lying towards the 5' end but 3' to hairpin I) and the branchpoint sequence (BPS) of the intron results the bulging out of an unpaired adenosine, on the BPS, which initiates a nucleophilic attack at the intronic 5' splice site, thus starting the first of two transesterification reactions that mediate splicing.
Source: Ensembl
UUAGCUUCUCGGCCUUUUGGCUAAGAUCAAGUGUAGUAUCUGUUAGCAUUUCACCACCUUCUCCACGCAGAGGACAUACCAUUUCCCUUUUCUUCCUAUUUCUACUGACAUAACCAAAUAACUCCUUUUAUUGUUUUAAUCUCUCUGGCAAGCUUUGAUUAUAAAACUGUUGGAGAAUGGGAAAGGCACUUAUUGGCUCAACUGAAA